This 262-nucleotide ribosomal RNA is filed under the name uncultured bacterium. Its description in RNAcentral is "partial 16S ribosomal RNA". It matches the Rfam family "Bacterial small subunit ribosomal RNA", at positions 30 to 287 of the family's 1533-position model. The record is from RNAcentral.
AUUGAACGCUGGCGGCAGGCCUAACACAUGCAAGUCGAACGGUAACAGGAAGCAGCUUGCUGCUUUGCUGACGAGUGGCGGACGGGUGAGUAAUGUCUGGGAAACUGCCUGAUGGAGGGGGAUAACUACUGGAAACGGUAGCUAAUACCGCAUAACGUCGCAAGACCAAAGAGGGGGACCUUCGGGCCUCUUGCCAUCGGAUGUGCCCAGAUGGGAUUAGCUAGUAGGAGGGGUAAACGCUCACCAACAAGCUAAUCCCAUC